UACGUAGGGUGCGAGCGUUGUCCGGAAUUAUUGGGCGUAAAGGGCUCGUAGGCGGUCUGUCGCGUCGGGAGUGAAAACUCAGGGCUUAACCCUGAGCCUGCUUCCGAUACGGGCAGACUAGAGGUAUGCAGGGGAGAACGGAAUUCCUGGUGUAGCGGUGGAAUGCGCAGAUAUCAGGAGGAACACCGGUGGCGAAGGCGGUUCUCUGGGCCUGACCUGACGCUGAGGAGCGAAAGCGUGGGGAGCGAACAGG
This 253-nucleotide ribosomal RNA is filed under the name uncultured bacterium. Its description in RNAcentral is "partial 16S ribosomal RNA". It matches the Rfam family "Bacterial small subunit ribosomal RNA", at positions 524 to 776 of the family's 1533-position model. The record is from RNAcentral.